UUUUGGCAACUGCCUUUGGGAUUUAAUUGCAAAUUAAAACAGAAGAGACAAGCUUCUGACAUAAAUAUAAAUUAUUACACAGUACCAAUACAAGAGAGUUAUCGUCACUGUGAACCGGGUGGUCUCAAGGUUACACACGG
Molecule: long non-coding RNA, 140 nt
Organism: Labeo rohita (rohu)
Lineage: Eukaryota; Metazoa; Chordata; Actinopteri; Cypriniformes; Cyprinidae
Exons: 3
Source: RefSeq, a predicted model, not a curated record